RNAcentral lists this ribosomal RNA (245 nucleotides) under uncultured bacterium. RNAcentral describes it as "partial 16S ribosomal RNA". It matches the Rfam family "Bacterial small subunit ribosomal RNA", at positions 118 to 348 of the family's 1533-position model. The record is from RNAcentral.
UGGGUAACUUGCCUCAAAGAGGGGAAUAGCCUCCCGAAAGGGAGAUUAAUACCGCAUAAUAUGUUUAAGUCGCAUGACUUUAACAUCAAAGGAUUUUUCUUUUAGAAACUUCCACUUUGAGAUGGACCCGCGGCGCAUUAGCUAGUUGGUGAGGUAACGGCUCACCAAGGCAACGAUGCGUAGCCGACCUGAGAGGGUGAUCGGCCACAUUGGAACUGAGACACGGCCCAGACUCCGUAGGGAGG